Molecule: ribosomal RNA, 253 nt
Filed under: uncultured bacterium
Lineage: Bacteria
Description: partial 16S ribosomal RNA
Rfam family: Bacterial small subunit ribosomal RNA
Source: RNAcentral
UACGUAGGGUGCAAGCGUUGCCCGGAUUUAUUGGGCGUAAAGGGCGCGUAGGCGGCUCGGCACGUCCGUUGUGAAAUCGCCCGGCUCAACUGGGCGGGGUCGGCGGAUACGGCCGAGCUGGAGCAAGGUAGGGGGUAAUGGAAUUCCCGGUGUAGUGGUGGAAUGCGUAGAUAUCGGGAGGAACACCAGUGGCGAAGGCGGUUACCUGGAGCGUUGCUGACGCUGAUGCGCGAAAGCGUGGGGAGCGAUCAGG